This 1264-nucleotide ribosomal RNA is filed under the name metagenome. RNAcentral describes it as "SSU rRNA". It matches the Rfam family "Eukaryotic small subunit ribosomal RNA", at positions 526 to 1783 of the family's 1831-position model. The record is from RNAcentral.
UAAACGGACCAUCGAGUAUCCAUUGGAGGGCAAGUCUGGUGCCAGCAGCUGCGGUAAUACCAGCUGCAAUAGCGUAUAUUAAAGUUGUUGCAGUUAAAAAGCUCGUAGUUGGACUUGUGUGCGCUGUCCGCGGGUGGCCUGCGCCCAAAAGGGCGUUUCGGUUCGGCCCCGGUGGCGCCUUGAAAUCUGCAGCUGGGGGGACGUUGGCCUUAACUGGUCGGCGACCGCACGCCGGCUGCUCGGUUACUGUGAGAAAAUUAGAGUGUUCAAGGCAGGCAUUGGGUGCAAUUGAAUACAUUAGCAUGGAAUAAUAAAAUAUGGCUCCUGCCGUAUUUUGUUGGUUUUGACUGGUGGGAGUAAUGAUUGAUAGGGACGGUUGGGGGUGCUAGUAUUGAGCGGCCAGAGGUGAAAUUCAUGGAUUCGCUCAAGACUAACUUAUGCGAAAGCAUUCACCAAGGACGUCCUCUUUAAUCAAGAACGAAAGUUGGGGGAUCGAAGACGAUCAGAUACCGUCGUAGUCUCAACCAUAAACUAUGUCGACUUGGGAUCGGCGGUAGUUUUUUCAUUAAGACACUGUCGGGACCACGGGAGAAAUCAAAGUGUCUGGACUCUGGGGGAAGUAUGGUCGCAAGGCUGAAACUUGAAGGAAUUGACGGAAGGGCACCACCAGGAGUGGAGCCUGCGGCUUAAUUUGACCCAACACGGGGAAACUUACCAGGUCCAGAGAUGUAGAGGAUUGACAGAUUGAAGCUCUUUCUUGAUCACUUCGGUGGUGGUGCAUGGCCGUUCUUAGUUGGUGGAGUGAUUUGUCUGGUUAAUUCCGUUAACAAACGAGACCUCAGCCUGCUAGUGUAGUCGGCUGGAUUGCCUUUGGCGAUCCGUGAUUUCGACUUCUUAGAGGGACAAUCGACGCGCAGUCGAUGGAAGUUUGAGGCAAUAACAGGUCUGUGAUGCCCUUAGAUGUUCUGGGCCGCACGCGCGCUACACUGCUGGGCUCAGCGAGUUUUACUUGGCCGAGAGGCCCGGUUAAUCUUGUGAAAUCCCAGCGUGCUUGGGCUCGCCUCCUGCAACUGGAGGCGCCAACGAGGAAUUCCUAGUAGACGCAGGUCAUCAACCUGCAUCGAUUACGUCCCUGCCCUUUGUACACACCGCCCGUCGUUCCAUAAGAGUGAGGCAUCCGGUGAAUUCUCGGGAGAGCCUGGGCGUGGCCAGCAAUGGUCUGCUCGGGUUUGAACUUGCAUAAACUUGGUGCCUAUGAUUAGGG